Molecule: long non-coding RNA, 1427 nt
Filed under: Capra hircus (goat)
Lineage: Eukaryota; Metazoa; Chordata; Mammalia; Artiodactyla; Bovidae
Description: lncRNA (ENSCHIG00010003876.1)
Source: RNAcentral
UGCUGUCGUGGUGCCGCCAGCCUGGGAAGCGGCGGCCAGAAGUCAGUGGUCCAGAGGCCCGAGCACAGGGCGGUUGUGCCAGGAACACUGACCCUGAGGCCCGUCCCAUCCUGAGCCGGCAUCGCGAGGGGCUGGAGUGACAGCGUGCCAGCGCCCCUGGAUGGGGCAGAGGGGCACCACGAGCUGGGGGUGGUCGGGGAGCUGCAUCUGCCAGGUGCCCCUCAAGCCCCGCACUCCUGCUUAGAAGACCAUGGGGGCCUGCCCAGGUGGGGACCCAAGGGUGGGACCACCCAGCCCCCUGAGAAGUUGGCUCAUGAGAUUGCAGAGGCUUGGUGGGUCCAAGAUCUGAUCAGAGAGGCUGGAGGGUCGAAGUUCAAGUCCAAAGGGAGUCUGCCAUGGAAAUCAGGAAGCGCUAAUGCUGCCAAUGAAAUCAGAAGACAGUCCGCUGGAGAAUUUACUCGCGCAUGGAGGAGGUCAGCCUUUGUUCUCUUUGGUUUUCUACUGACGGGACAGGGGCUUUCCAGGUUGCUCGGGGGUAACGAGUCCCCUGCCAAUGNNNNNNNNNNNNNNNNNNNNNNNNNNNNNNNNNUGGAGAAGGGAAUGGCAACCCACUCCAGUGUUCUUGCCUGGGAAAUCUCACGGACAGAAGAGCCUGUGGGCUACAGUCCAUGGGGUUGCAGAGUCAGACCCGGCUGAGUGACUGCACGAAUGAUUGGACAACGUAUUCUAUAGGAUUUCAAUCCUUUCACAUUUCUUGACGUUUGUUCUAUGACCCAGGAUGUGGUCUAUCUUGGUCAGUGUUCCAUGGAUGCUUGAAAAGGGUGUUCAUUCUGCUGCUGUUUGGUGGACAGUUCUAUAAAUGCCCUUUAGGUCCUGUUGCUUGGUGAUGGUUUUGCCUUCUUCUAAAUCUUGGUUGACUCUGUGUAGACGUCCCAUCAUUUGCUGACAGUGGAAUCAAUGGGGGACAGUGGAAGUCCCUAAGUAAGAGCUAUAAUUUUAGACUUGUCUAAUUCUUCUUUCAGUCUAUUAUAUUUUGCUAUACACACACAUAUAUGCAUAUAUGUAUUUUUUUUGGCCACACCAUGUGGCAAAUGGUAUCUUAGUUGUCCAUCCAGGGAUUGAACCGACACCCCCUGCGUUAGAAGCGAAGUCUUAACCACCAGGCCAGCAGAGGAGCCCCACUUGGCAUGGUUUUAACUCUGUUGUUUGGUGUGUGAAUACUUACAGUCAUCAUGUCUUCCAACUGCAUUGAUUCUUUUAUCACUAUGUGACAGUCCUCUUUGAUUCUAGCCAUUUUCUUUGCUCUGCAAUCUACUUUAUGUGAUUUUAAUAUAUAAUAACUGAUAACAUGAUAAUGCGUUCAGUUCAGUUCAGUCGCUCAGUUGUGUCCGACUCUGUGCAACCCCAUAGACGGCAGCCCACCAGGC